GGUUCACUGUAGAAGUAAGGUGUGCACUCAUGGGGGAUCUAUCAACCUUAGUAGUUGAGGAGUAGUCCCAUAUGACCUAAGAGACUGAGUCCUUAAGUCUGUAGCCACAGCAACAUGAUAAUGGAAAAGAGUUUUCAUGAGAUUCAUGAUUGAGCUCAAGCUAAUUAAGUCUUACAUAUGAUGGAUGCUUAGGGUUUGAUGAGUUUCUAUGGCCUGCAUCC
Molecule: long non-coding RNA, 221 nt
Filed under: Elaeis guineensis (African oil palm)
Lineage: Eukaryota; Viridiplantae; Streptophyta; Magnoliopsida; Arecales; Arecaceae
Description: long non-coding RNA (EGUI_LNC062555)
Source: RNAcentral